UUGUCAGAAAAAUUGCAAAUUAAGCAGCGUAAAUUCGAAUCGAAAAUUCUUUUAUAGAAAACUGAACUAUGUUUUAUUAACAAUUUAGCAGCCUUCUUUGUCUCAUUUCCCCAAAAUUAAUUAUACACAUUGAAAGUCCCCGCUGCCACACGGUGUACAGUGAGGCGAAAAGCAAGUCAAGAAGGCGCUUGGCUGGGCGUUGUGAAAGCAGCUGGAUGCUUGGAUGAACUGGCCAUGUUAUGGGUGUGAAUGGCGGCUGGGAAUGGGCGGCACACAAUCUGAAUGGAAAACCGCACUUUAACGCGAAGUCGAAGACAUAAAUCAAAUUAGUUUUUCAAGUGAAUGCACUCGACUAAUUCCAGCGGGCAAAGCGCGCCAAAGGUACGAGGAAUAGAGCGCGGAUGUUGCUCAUUUUAUUAUGACUGACCAUUCAAAAGGAUCUGCAUGUCCUGCAGAGUUUUUCACAUUCAAAUACCGAUGCGGGCAACCAACUUCUGUGUGCUAUACAUUUGUGUGUGUGUCUGUGUAAAGUGUUGACCUCGCCGGGUAAUCGUUCUAUUAUUAAUGGACAUUUGCCUUCAAACAAUGUCACAGUUGCACAUCGAACUAUGUUGGCUACCGAUUCAAUCUGAUUUACCUGCCCAGGAUUAGCUAGAUUAAGGGGCUUACAACACUUUUCGGGGCGCUGAAAAUGCAAAUCGAAACAGACUAUAGAAUAAAAGUAACGUUUUUCUGGCAAUUGAUUCCGCUUGGAUCAACAAAGCAAGAUUUUUUUGUAUGACACGCUUUACGGCUUAUGACAGAUUUGGUCAAGCAAAUCGUCUUAGGAUUCACAGAUUUGUGCAAGGAAGCGCAAGAAGUAUGUGUAAGAUGGUAACAAUUGCCAGUAGCCGGCACGCUCCCUAGGGCCAAAAGCCUCAUCCAUUCGUCCAUUCAGAAGAGCGUGUCCGUGAUCCUAGCAUAGCCUGGUUUCCUGUCGAGAAAUGAGGCAAACAUAAGUGGCUUGGUUUGGUUCGGCUCGACUCGACUCGGUCGAUGGCCAAAGCGGCAAAGUCAAAUGCAAAUUGAAAUGUACGAAAAUGGAACAAUGACACAGUGAGUUUCUAUGGAAUGUGGACAAUGCUACUGUGGAUUGCCGACUGCUGCUUUGCCAAAAGCCUUUUCACACUUAUCAAUGCAGUUGCAUGUUGAAUGAAAGUAUUCAAAGAGAUGCAAAGAGAUCGAAGAAAGGCAACAUGCAACGGGCAACAGACAACGAACAACGGGCAACCGUUAGAAAAUUUGGCAAUUGCUCGACUGCUGACUCGACUCCUAUGGUGCAAUUAUGAUGGAAAGGUGCUAAUAAUAACCGAUAAAUUCAUGUUUACCUAACAGCCCAAGGUGCUGGUCAGCUGUCAAGUGUCUGUUUGUGUCGCCCCGAAACAUUCAUGUGAUGAAUGGAAUGCCACGAAUGAUGAACUGCAUUUGAAGUGUCUCUGCCCUUUGGCAUGCAUUCUUGUAGUAGGUGUAUAGUAAAUGGAUAGAUACUCCAAUCUGGCCAUUUUGAGGGCAAUGCGGGGGAAAAUUGCAUUCGAUUUUUUGAUUGAUCGGCUUGAUGCUCAAACCUUGUUACGCUCGCGCGAUUUUCUAUAACUAAAAAUUGCGAC
This is a long non-coding RNA of Drosophila sulfurigaster albostrigata, 1646 nucleotides long. RefSeq lists it as uncharacterized. The record is from RefSeq and is a predicted model, not a curated record. NCBI's taxonomy places the organism in Eukaryota, Metazoa, Arthropoda, Insecta, Diptera, Drosophilidae. The transcript has 3 exons.